UUGUUUUUUUAUUUUUUUAAAGCCCAGUUUCAUAUAUGUUAGCAAUUUUUUUUUUCUUUUGAACAAAGUAUAUGUUAGCAAAUAUGUUAACGUAAAACUGAAAAAAAAUAAUCAAAAAUAUUAAUUAAGCUAAGAAAUAUAUCUUAGGACACAAACAAAAAAUGCGUGUGAAUUUUUGUUUUCUUUCUUUUCUUUCUCUCGAUCUAUCUCUCUCCGAGGAGGACAUCACCGUCCUCAUCGACACCGAUGAAUCCUCUACACAGCCCACUGGCAAGAACAUCCGCCGUGCGCUUAAGGAUCUCAUCGGAAUCGGAUCUGCUGAUAUUGGCAACGUUCUUGUCGUUCAUUACAUCGGACACGGGACGAGGCUGCCCGCUGAGACUGGUGAAGACAAUGAUACUGGCUAAGACGAUGAUACUGGCUACAACGAGUGUAUUGUUCCUUGCACGUGAAUUUAGAGGAAAAUCAAGAAGCAACCCAGCACUAAUUGAUGGUCAAUGAUUCAAUCUCACUUUCGAUUCUCCAAUCUCUUUCUAUUGAUGGUCUCCGACAAUGAAUCCCCAGAAAAAUUCUUAUUUAGAUGAUAUUGUACUUGUGGACAAAAUUUGCCUCAAGGAUUACAAGUUUGUGCGUGGUGAUGUUGUAGUGUUCAGAUGAUGGAUAUGAUGAUGUGGUAUGGCCUCCCCAAAGAGUUAGCAAGAUUGGUCGAUAAAGCUAAUUGGAAGAAGAAGGAGAAUGACAAGGUAUGUUUCUUCCUUUUCCAAAAGAAAACUUCCUUCUUCAUGUUACAUCUAUAUUUUAAUCUCAAAUCAGAAUUAGUCAUCACGUCUCAAUGAUAACAAACCGUGAAUACAUUCUUGUAUUGGAACAAUGGUUUUACCUCAUAUAGUACUUUUUAGCCUCAUUGUGGCUCCGGUUUGCUUGCUGGCUUCGAUUUUAUGUUUAUUUCAGGUGUGGCAAAUGGCUUCUCUUUACCAUUUGGUUCACACUGCAACUCUUCUUUCUGCACCUAGCACCAAAUAUCCCAACAUUGAAUAAAACCCUUCUCCAGGUAGCUCCUCUCCGCCGCUGUUGUUGUGCAACCUCAAACGUCCCCUCCCCCCCUCUUUAUUCUGUUGUGUGACCUCAAGCAUCCCUCACCCUCUUCAUUCUUUCUUCCCUCCCUUAUCCUCCACACCCUUUCAUUGUCUCCAUCGUAACGUCUUCCUCUUAAACGAUAAUUCAAGUCUUUCAAUGCUGUCUCAUUCAAUUGAAGUCCCACUACUUUUUCUUCAAUUGGUGCAAGUUGAAGUCCUAUAUAAUGUCCUCUCUUCCAAUUUCAUGCCUCUUACAAUUCCCUUUCUCUCUUAAUUUUAUCUUUACUUACAUGGAUUCCACCACCACCACCACCAUCGGAGACAUUACAUUUAACCGGAAUAGGAGAAAAUCGGCAAGUAUCGCCGCCGUCGAGACCAUACACAUGGCUCUUUUGUUGUGAUUUUAAUGUCGAUAUUAUUCCUUGAAUGAAACAGUUUGUGUGUGUGUACACACUAUUUCGUUCUUAACGAAAUGGUUUGAGAUAUUUUUUUUUGUUUGCUUAAUAGUUUGCAAAGCUUUUUUUUUGUAUUAGGAUUAAGAAUCCAAAACAAACAAUUUUGGUUAGAGUAAAAGGAACCAGAAGGUCAUUUUUAA
This is a non-coding RNA of Camelina sativa (false flax), 1671 nucleotides long. The record is from RefSeq and is a predicted model, not a curated record. Lineage: Eukaryota; Viridiplantae; Streptophyta; Magnoliopsida; Brassicales; Brassicaceae.